Molecule: long non-coding RNA, 621 nt
Organism: Linepithema humile (Argentine ant)
Lineage: Eukaryota; Metazoa; Arthropoda; Insecta; Hymenoptera; Formicidae
Source: RefSeq, a predicted model, not a curated record
AUCCAUGUCACGAUAAAAGUACAUGCAGUGUGUAUGAGCAUGUGCAGCAUAAAAAACUGAGAAAAUCCGUUUUUGUCACAUGUCGCCACGUCAAUUUUUCGCUGAGUUAUAACGUUUUGAAAAUUCGGCACCUGUCGUCUAUAAAUAGAGUGAAGAUGCGCCGCGAUUCACAGAAUUGUGUGAUACGCGGAAAAGUGUGGAAUGCGUGGAAUGCGGAGAUGCUAUUAAUACUAUUAUGACCUAGAUUGAUUCGUAGUAAAGGCAUUGACCUAUGGGGACGUGGCAGACGCUCGACUUUUAUCAUCGGUCAAUUUCGGGACGUAUGUCGGAAUCACUCGGGAUGCAUAUGAUCAAGGAUCGAUGAGAUUGCGCGGGAAAAUGUAGUAAACAAAUGUCAAUUAAAGCUGAAGGAACUAAUUAUGGAACAGCCAAUUCUGUAAUCAAAAGAAUAUGUGAAAAAGGAUAAAUAAAAGAUUACAGGAUUUGUACAGUGAGGUGCUAUUAGCAAUGUUCAUUCACAUAAUAUAUUUACAAAGCCAUCGACAACUUUCAUUUCAACUUGAGCAAAUUCUAAGUCAUGGACCAUACGUUCAAGAUUUUCCAGCUGUCCAUCUACACGUG